Molecule: long non-coding RNA, 282 nt
Filed under: Bos taurus (domestic cattle)
Lineage: Eukaryota; Metazoa; Chordata; Mammalia; Artiodactyla; Bovidae
Description: long non-coding RNA NONBTAT007465
Source: RNAcentral
CUUUGGUGCUGAAAUAACUAAGCCAUCUCUGAAAGGUCCAGUGUUUACAAACUGAGACAGAAAUAUGUUCCUAUCAUAAAUUGAAUCCAGAAAGGAGAUUUAAAAUCUAAAGUGAUGCAAAUGUAUGUGGUACAUUCUGUUGCUUUUAUUUCCUUUUAACUUUUUUUCUUCCACUGGUCAAUAGAUUCAUCCCUUGACUACAACUACUACAAAAAGAGAUAAUGAGCAUUGUGGGAAAGCAAUUAUAAAUUUCUAGCAAAAAGGUAAAUAAUACUUAUUUCA